CGAGGAGGUAGGGCUUACGCUUGCGUUUGUCUGUUAUAUCUUGGUGGACGAGUUGUCGCGGUUGGGACUGAGGUGCCUACAACGUGCUUUUGAGUGAGUUUGUGUCUCCGUGUGCGCCGUGUGUGGAUAGCUUGCUAUGUAUGUGCGGUUGUGUGUGGAUUGAUGCGGGCUUUAACUUGUUGCCGUUCGGGACGUUGGCGAAAUGGAGCGAUCCGACCCGUCUUGAAACACGGACCAAGGAGUCUAACAUGUGUGCAAGUGUUAGGGUGUGGAAACCCCAGCGCGAAAUGAAAGUGAAGGGCAGCGCAAGUUGUCUGAGGUAGGAAACGUUGUGGACUUCGGUCUGCGGCGUGGCACUAUCGACCGAUCAUGAACCUUCGUGGUGAAAGAUUUGAGUUUGAGCACAUAUGUUGGUACCCGAAAGAUGGUGAACUAUGCCUGAGUAGGGUGAAGCCAGGGGAAACUCUGGUGGAAGCUCGUAGCGAUUCUGACGUGCAAAUCGAUCGUCAAACUUGGGUAUAGGGGCGAAAGACUAAUCGAACCAUCUAGUAGCUGGUUCCCUCCGAAAUUUCCCUCAGGAUAGCAGCAACUUAUUUACGAUAGUUUUAUGAGGUAAAGCGAAUGAUUAGAGGAUUCGGGGAAGAAACUUCCUCGACCUAUUCUCAAACUUUAAAUCUGUAAGACCUGCAGGUUUCUUAAU
Molecule: ribosomal RNA, 700 nt
Filed under: Pseudoperonospora cubensis
Lineage: Eukaryota; Oomycota; Peronosporomycetes; Peronosporales; Peronosporaceae
Description: LSU rRNA
Rfam family: Eukaryotic large subunit ribosomal RNA
Source: RNAcentral